This 84-nucleotide transfer RNA is filed under the name Methanosarcina sp. RNAcentral describes it as "tRNA-Val". Lineage: Archaea; Methanobacteriati; Methanobacteriota; Methanomicrobia; Methanosarcinales; Methanosarcinaceae. The record is from RNAcentral.
UGGCUCGUCGAUAACUGGCAUCACGUCGCGUAUCCCCCAGCCUUCACACGGCGGAGGUCCUGAGUUCGAAUCUCAGCGGGCCCA